RNAcentral lists this ribosomal RNA (303 nucleotides) under uncultured bacterium. RNAcentral describes it as "partial 16S ribosomal RNA". It matches the Rfam family "Bacterial small subunit ribosomal RNA", at positions 507 to 807 of the family's 1533-position model. The record is from RNAcentral.
AGCAGCAGCCGCGGUAACACGUAGGGUGCGAGCGUUAAUCGGAAUUACUGGGCGUAAAGCGUGCGCAGGCGGUUGUGUAAGACAGGUGUGAAAUCCCCGGGCUUAACCUGGGAACUGCGCUUGUGACUGCACAGCUAGAGUAUGGCAGAGGGGGGUGGAAUUCCACGUGUAGCAGUGAAAUGCGUAGAGAUGUGGAGGAACACCGAUGGCGAAGGCAGCCCCCUGGGCCAAUACUGACGCUCAUGCACGAAAGCGUGGGGAGCAAACAGGAUUAGAUACCCCCGUAGUCCCUGUCUCUUAUAC